GUGCCAGCCGCCGCGGUAAUACCGGCAGCUCGAGUGAUGUCCAAUAUUAUUGGGCCUAAAGCGUCCGUAGCUGGCCGACCAAGUCUCCCGGGAAAUCCACCCGCCCAACGGGUGGGCGUCCGGUAGAAACUGGCCGGCUUGGAACCGUAAGGCUCGAAGGGUACGUUCGGGGUAGGAGUGAAAUCCCAUAAUCCCGCACGGACCACCGAUGGCGAAAGCACUUCGAGAAAACGGAUCCGACAGUGAGGGACGAAAGCCAGGGUCUCGAACCGGAUUAGAUACCCUAGUAGUCC
RNAcentral lists this ribosomal RNA (293 nucleotides) under uncultured bacterium. Its description in RNAcentral is "partial 16S ribosomal RNA". It matches the Rfam family "Archaeal small subunit ribosomal RNA", at positions 455 to 747 of the family's 1478-position model. The record is from RNAcentral.